Molecule: ribosomal RNA, 492 nt
Filed under: uncultured bacterium
Lineage: Bacteria
Description: partial 16S ribosomal RNA
Rfam family: Bacterial small subunit ribosomal RNA
Source: RNAcentral
AGUGAACGCUGGCGGUAGGCCUAACACAUGCAAGUCGAACGGGAGCACAGUAAGAGCUUGCUCUUACGGGGGGCGAGUCGCGGACGGGUGAGGUAUACAUCGGAACCUACUUUUUCGUGGGGGAUAACGUAGGCAAACGUACGCUAAUACCGCAUACGACCUACGGGUGAAAGCGGGGGAUCCUCGGACCUUGCGCGAUUGGAUGAGCCGAUGUCGGAUUAGAGAGUUGGCGGGGGUAAGGCCCACUAAGGCGACGAGCCGUAGCUGGUCUGAGAGGAUGAUCAGACACACUGGGACUGAAGCAGCGUCCAGACUCCUACGGGAGGAAGCAGUGGGGAACAUUGGGCGAUGGGCGCAAGCAUGAUCCAGCCAUACCGCGAGGGUGGAGGAGGCCUUCGGGUUGGAAAGCAAAUUUGUUGGGAAAGAAAAGCAGCAGGUUAAUACCAAGAUGUUCUGACGGUACCCGAAGAAUAAGCACCGGCUAACUUCGUG